GAGGGUCGAGAGACCACCUUUUGUUCUUAACCAUACCGCGUACCUAGCUGGAAAUUUUGUGUCUCUGCCUCGGCGGCGGCCCCAGGGGGGGCCGCUGCUCGCCAAGCCGUUGACCCACGGCACGGCGGGCGCCGCCGGUGGCACCUAAACCUUGGGGCAUUGCAAGUAUUCCACUGCUAUUAGUUAUAUAGUUUUACAUACCAAUU
RNAcentral lists this small RNA (206 nucleotides) under Beauveria virella. The record is from RNAcentral. Lineage: Eukaryota; Fungi; Ascomycota; Sordariomycetes; Hypocreales; Cordycipitaceae.